RNAcentral lists this long non-coding RNA (328 nucleotides) under Ananas comosus (pineapple). RNAcentral's name for it is "long non-coding RNA (ACOM_LNC024435)". Lineage: Eukaryota; Viridiplantae; Streptophyta; Magnoliopsida; Poales; Bromeliaceae. The record is from RNAcentral.
AAACUCCUUCUCUCUCCUAAUUAUUAAUAAUAAUAAUCCAUACGUAUACAUGAUUUCUCAUAAAUUUUUACCAUGUGACAGCACUAUAGUCUCUCAUUUUCAAAAUUUCUAUUCUUCAAUCACAACGACCGCUCGCCUUCCUCGCAACAUCUACCUCUUUGACUUUCCGUCUCAUUAAUUCGUUCCUUGUAACGUCUGCCUCUUUGGCUUCCCAUCUCAUUAAUUCCUUCCCCGUAACAUCUGCCUCUUCAGCUUUCCGUCUCAUUAAUUCCUUCUCUGUAACGUCGCUGCUUCCACUUUCUGUCUCAUUAGUUUCUAUUUUCUAAGA